UACAGAGGUCCCAAGCGUUGUUCGGAUUCACUGGGCGUAAAGGGUGCGUAGGUGGUGAGGUAAGUCGGAUGUGAAAGCUCGGAGCUCAACUCCGAAAUGGCAUUGGAAACUACCUCGCUAGAGGAUCGGAGGGGAGACUGGAAUUCUCGGUGUAGCAGUGAAAUGCGUAGAUAUCGAGAGGAACACCAGUGGCGAAGGCGAGUCUCUGGACGAUUCCUGACGCUGAGGCACGAAGGCCAGGGGAGCAAACGGG
Molecule: ribosomal RNA, 253 nt
Filed under: uncultured bacterium
Lineage: Bacteria
Description: partial 16S ribosomal RNA
Rfam family: Bacterial small subunit ribosomal RNA
Source: RNAcentral